This 62-nucleotide ribosomal RNA is filed under the name Bursaphelenchus xylophilus (pine wood nematode). Its description in RNAcentral is "partial 28S ribosomal RNA". The record is from RNAcentral. Lineage: Eukaryota; Metazoa; Nematoda; Chromadorea; Rhabditida; Aphelenchoididae.
GGCGAGUGAAAAAGCUCGUAACCAAAGGUUAGCUGUUAGCCCUGUGUUACGGCGAGUGAAAG